UGCCAUCAACAGAAAGAUAAAGGGAU
Molecule: non-coding RNA, 26 nt
Filed under: Homo sapiens (human)
Lineage: Eukaryota; Metazoa; Chordata; Mammalia; Primates; Hominidae
Source: RNAcentral